AUCUCUUUACCAACGGAUAUUCCGUGCCUAAUAUAACCGUUUAACAUUUUGAGCUUUUAGCAACGGAUAUUCCGUUGGUAAUUAGCAACGAAUUUUUCGUUGGUAAAAAUGAUAUCUCUUUAUCAACGGAUAUUCCGUGCCUAAUAUAACCGUUUAACAUUUUGAGCUUUCAGCAACGGAUAUUCCGUUGGUAAUUAGAAACGGAUUAUCCGUCGGUAGAAAUAAUUCACUUAUCCCACAUCGAAAGUUUAUAAAAAUGUCUUUGUAGUUGUCCUCUAUAAAUUUGUGGUCCAAUA
This 296-nucleotide long non-coding RNA is filed under the name Olea europaea (common olive). Its description in RNAcentral is "long non-coding RNA (OEUR_LNC003206)". Lineage: Eukaryota; Viridiplantae; Streptophyta; Magnoliopsida; Lamiales; Oleaceae. The record is from RNAcentral.